Parus major (Great Tit) is the source of this 1577-nucleotide long non-coding RNA. NCBI's taxonomy places the organism in Eukaryota, Metazoa, Chordata, Aves, Passeriformes, Paridae. The record is from Ensembl.
UUGAUAAAACAGUAUUUUAUUAUGGUGAGCUUUCUGCAAUGGCUCAGGUAAACUUCCUGGUUGCUUAAAAAUAAUUUGUUUUAUCUCUAAAGAGACUGAGAGAGUGGAUAAAUCUGCUGCAGCAAAGCAAUAGAGCUUUCGAGUUCAUGUAGAACAUAUAGAAGAAACCUACUGUUAGGAAGAGCUGAUGAUUUUUCUCCAGUUUCAGAUGGCAGAAAUCUCCAAAUCUAAAGGGCCAGGAGCUUGGAUGUUGUUCCUGCGGGGCACCGGAGCCCUCCAGCCACAAAUUCCAGUUCCAGAGGAGCUGGGAAGGCGGACCAGGCGCUUUCCUGGGAUUCCCCGUGCCCGGUGUCUUUUCGGGAUGCGACCGCCAGGUGACACCAGAUCCCUGAUGCUGGGGGAUAUCCCGGGAAUUCCCUCUUUUCCCGGGAAUUCCCUCUUUUCCCGGGAAUUCCCGCUUUUCCCAGCCAUUCCUGCAAUUCCCGGCCAUUCCUGCAAUUCCCGGCCAUUCCCGCACCUUUGUCUCUUUUUGUCUGGCCAAACUAAGCCUUGGGAAGGUAAAACCACUUUGGUUUAUAUUUCAGACUCAAUAAAAUGAAAGUUGCCCAGAAGGUGGCUACAGAGAUGGAACUAAACUCCAAAUAUUGAACUUGCUGAAAAGAACCCCUCAAUUCGUGGUUUCAGAGUUCCCUAAGCCAGCACAUUUGUUUUGGGGGGCUCCGUGGAAGUCCUGGCUCCUGAAAAAGUCUCCUGGUCUGAAGGAUGUUUGUGAGGGGAACUUUGUAGAGGUUCUUUCAACCCAUCUGCCCUUCAUAUCGCAGGAUUUCCCAUCUUUGUGGAAAGCCUUUUGCUCCCAUCCUCCUAUCCCUGGCUUCCCUGGGUGUUUGUGCCACAGAAUUCCUGCAGGUCUGCAGCUGGAUGGAUUCUGCUCCUCAGGGGUUUGUACCUGCCCUGAGCUGGUUCCUGGUUCCUCUCUCCACACCUCCUGCUCCUGUGACAUUCCAGGUGUUUGAGGAACAUCUGGAAUUUUACAGGGCCUAAAGAACUUGGCUACUGAAAGAAACAGUGUUUCCUCCUCCACAAAGGAGUAAAUACCACAUUACACUCUUCUUCCACUUUUCUGCUCUCUUCACUGAGAGUAGAAGCUGUUGAAGGAAAAGUUAGUUGGGAACACCCAUGAUGUUUUAUUUCAAAGAGGUCUUUUUAUUCACCAGUUUUAUCUCAGAGCCAAAAAAGAAAUGGAAAAUAGAAAAUAGGAAAAAAAAAUCAGUUUUCUGAUGCCCAGUUUGUGACAAUUUUUUCACUGAGUUCAGAGAUGUUCAUUGUGUCACAAAACAUAAAACUGUGCUUGACAGAGUUCAAGCUUCCCAUGAUCUGAUUCAUUGGUGUGGGCCUCAAGCUCUGAGCAUCCCCUCUCUGCUUCACUUUGGAUGUGUCACAAGCUGCCUUUUCACCCCUGGGAAUGAGGGAUGGCAAUUUUCUUCUUCCAAUGUGUGGUUUAUUUAGACUAUAAAAACAUAAUCUCCCACAUAAUCUGUGUGUUUUUUUACAACUGAUUUUGUUUCAGUGGACGUCCC